GAGCCGCGUGGCGUAGUGGUUAAGUGCUUGUGUAACCUUGCACUGCCACUCACACGGUCAGGAGUUCGAGCCCCCUGUGGGUCA
Molecule: transfer RNA, 84 nt
Filed under: Sphaerodactylus townsendi
Lineage: Eukaryota; Metazoa; Chordata; Lepidosauria; Squamata; Sphaerodactylidae
Description: tRNA-Gly
Source: RNAcentral